AUGCUUCCCAAAAAACAUUUAUCUGGUUUCCAGAAAAGAACAAAGAGGAAAAGAAUAGAUAAGUUUAUUGGAACUCAGAAGGGAGCUAUGCGUAAAUUUGCUGUGAGGAGGGACACUGCUGAUAAUCUUGAUGAAUUAGAUGGCAUUGGUGCUGAAGAACAACAACCUGUUGAGAAUGAGACCACAAUUGAGGAAAACAAUGCCCAUGAGACUCCUAUAAAUUUGAGUGGCCGUGAGAAUCCUACAAGUGUUGAUGAACAAGGAUCUUCUUGUUUUGAUAUCUAUGACCCUAGGAACUGGGACGCUCUUGACAAUAAAGCAAGAGAUAUUCUGAUUGAAAAAGGGCCUACAAGGGAAUACAAUCUUGUAUUCAAAACGGAUAAUAUUGGAAGACAUUUUUCGUAUGCUUACUACUCAAGAAAGCUUAGUAAUGGGGAGGUCAGUGAUCGGAAGUGGUUGGUGUACUCUAAACAUGUGAAUAAAGUUUACUGUUUUUGCUGCAAAUUGUUCAAGUCUGAAAGUAGCAAAAGUUUACUAGCAUCUGAAGGACUAAUGGACUGGAAGCAUCUAAGUGAGAAGCUCAAACUUCAUGAGAAUAGUAUUGAGCAUAUCACUAACAUGAAUACUUGGAAUGAGGUAAGACCGAGGCUAAGUAAAAAUGUGACAAUUGAUAAAGAUAUGCAACAAGAAAUUGCAAAGGAGAAAGAGCGAUGGAGACAAGUUCUGAUUAGAAUUGUUGUUGCAGUGAAGUUUCUUGCCAAGCAUAAUUUGGCUUUUCAAGGAUCAAAUGAGAAACUAUACCAAGUUAGCAAUGGAAACUUUUUGGGAGUAAUUGAAAUGAUAGCAGAAUUUGACCCAGUUAUGCAAGAUCAUCUUAGGCACAUUUAG
RNAcentral lists this ribosomal RNA (888 nucleotides) under Triticum aestivum (bread wheat). Its description in RNAcentral is "partial small subunit ribosomal RNA". The record is from RNAcentral. Lineage: Eukaryota; Viridiplantae; Streptophyta; Magnoliopsida; Poales; Poaceae.